UCUUUCAGAUUGAGAAAAAAUUUAAAGAUUGUUCAAUCUAUCUAAAGUUGCAUAAAGAGAGAGUUAGGGAACUUGAAAGGAAAUUGACAUCUUUGCAGGAGGUUUGACUUGUUUCUAUUUGGACUCAUUAAAUUUGCAUGCUAUUCCAUUUCUUGUCCUGUUAACAUGCUCCAUGGAUCCAUAAUUGCCCCAAUGAAGGAGUUAUGCUCCACCAAAGAUCCUGCUGCUGCUAAUGAAGAGCGCUACUCUGCUGAAAAAUCAACUUGCCACUUGCAAUGUCAGAUGGCCAAUCUGGUGCAGGAAUAAGCAUAGAAACAGCUGAAUGGGCAAUGCAAGACACAUUUGAGUCAAGUCAACAAUGAUUACAAAGAGAAACUUGAGAAGGAAGCAUCUGCCAGAAAAGAUUUUGAAAAUGUUUGGUAUUUUGUUGUUUUGUUCAUGUAAAUAAAUAUUUAAUGGUGCAUUUGGAAGCAUGCUUAAACUAUGUUCUUGAACAUUUUGGGGUCACCACCUUUGGAUAAGUAUGGCAUUUGGAAAGCUUAGAAAGAGUAAUGCAAGGUAUGUUACUACUACCCAAACACAGACAACCGUUUACUAAAUAAACACUUUAAACAUUAUAGAAUGAAGCAGUUCACCUUAUAAACUCAAAUAGUUUAUACGUGGGAUUCAGGAAACAUCCAAACAACUCCAAAGCUUUUCAUUCUGCCACUAAUGUUUAGUAACCUGGAUUUUCAAUAUACGAAAUCUAGAAACUAUCUUGGCAAACUGGAUUUGGAGGUGUGGAUAAGGCAUGUACUGCUCUCCAUCAGUAACCAUUUUGAAAAAUACAGCUGUAUUAAAGAAGAUUUCAAAUCCUUGCAAGCGAAGCUUUUAGAGAAGAUUUGAGAAGUGGGCAAACACAAUAUCUUGGCCUGCAUCUGGAUUUCAAUUCCAAAUGCCGCAAAAUUCAAACUGCCAAAUGACCCCUAAAUUUAUGCUAGGGCAAUCAAAGUGACCCACCACAAGAUAGACAUAGAUUUCAUUUCUUUCAACAAGUCAACAUAUGUCCUAAUCACUACGAAAGAGAUCUGAGACUCAAAAUCUAGAGGCCAAGGGUAGAUUGGUGUUCAAUACGCAAUUUCAACUAAGAUAUGGACCAAGUUUUAAAACCGAUGUUUUCGAAUUUCACAGGAAAAAAAAGUUUCAGCAAUAUUAAAAGAAAUGACCAUAAUAACAUGCAAUAAAAAUUGUUGAAAAGUUGGAAAAUUCGAUAGAACCAACCAAGAGAAAAUCAUGCAUGAUUUUAAGGAAAAAAAUGCACUCAAUGGAAAUUUUGGUUUACUUUAUGGUAAUCAUCGAUUUUUCUUUUCUGAAAAUUCCUCCAAUGGAAUGGUUAGGCUGUGAAAGAAGCAACAAACGUAAUUCCUAUCAUACAAGAGGUCCCAGUCAUUGAUAGUGUGCUGUUGGAUAAACUGAUUUUUGAAAAUGAACAAGUGAAGGUGGGAUUGCCAUCUCAAGGAGUUUUGUGAUGAAUAGCAUAACAUUUCAAAUUAAAGGAUUCUCUGACUCUUCACUGAAGGUUUGGGACAUGUCAAAGAUUGGUCGACAAGCUGACACUAGUAGGUUCUCACCUUUGAGCCUUCCAUACAUAUUAAUCAGUGCCAUUAUAUUGCUGGUUUUCGAAAUACUUGGAACCAC
Long non-coding RNA from Magnolia sinica, 1677 nucleotides. RefSeq lists it as uncharacterized. The transcript is spliced from 4 exons. NCBI's taxonomy places the organism in Eukaryota, Viridiplantae, Streptophyta, Magnoliopsida, Magnoliales, Magnoliaceae. The record is from RefSeq and is a predicted model, not a curated record.